AGUGAACGCUGGCGGUAGGCCUAACACAUGCAAGUCGAACGGCAGCACAGUAAGAGCUUGCUCUUACGGGUGGCGAGUGGCGGACGGGUGAGGAAUACAUCGGAAUCUACUUUUUCGUGGGGGAUAACGUAGGGAAACUUACGCUAAUACCGCAUACGACCUACGGGUGAAAGCAGGGGAUCUUCGGACCUUGCGCGAUUGAAUGAGCCGAUGUCGGAUUAGCUAGUUGGCGGGGUAAAGGCCCACCAAGGCGACAAUCCGUAGCUGGUCUGAGAGGAUGAUCAGCCACACUGGAACUGAGACACGGUCCAGACUCCUAAGGGAGGCAGCAGUGGGGAAUAUUGGACAAUGGGCGCAAGCCUGAUCCAGCCAUACCGCGUGGGUGAAGAAGGCCUUCGGGUUGUAAAGCCCUUUUGUUGGGAAAGAAAAGCAGCAGGUUAAUACCCCGCUGUUCUGACGGUACCCAAAGAAUAAGCACCGGCUAACUUCGUG
Molecule: ribosomal RNA, 492 nt
Filed under: uncultured bacterium
Lineage: Bacteria
Description: partial 16S ribosomal RNA
Rfam family: Bacterial small subunit ribosomal RNA
Source: RNAcentral